GCCAGGCAUGGUGGCGCGUGCCUGUAGUCCCAACUACUCAGGAGGCUGAGGCAGGAGGAUCACCUGAGCCCAGGAAGUCAAGGCUGCAGUGAGCUAUGAUGGCAUCACUGCAUUCCAGCCUGGGUGACAAGGCGAGACCCUGUCUCAA
RNAcentral lists this signal recognition particle RNA (148 nucleotides) under Gorilla gorilla gorilla (western lowland gorilla). RNAcentral's name for it is "Metazoan signal recognition particle RNA". It matches the Rfam family "Metazoan signal recognition particle RNA". Rfam says of the family: The signal recognition particle (SRP) is a universally conserved ribonucleoprotein. The record is from Rfam by way of RNAcentral. Lineage: Eukaryota; Metazoa; Chordata; Mammalia; Primates; Hominidae.